Molecule: long non-coding RNA, 787 nt
Organism: Pygocentrus nattereri (red-bellied piranha)
Lineage: Eukaryota; Metazoa; Chordata; Actinopteri; Characiformes; Serrasalmidae
Source: Ensembl
GUACUUUUCUUGAUGUAUCUCAACUAUAUUGAUCAAUGACAGUUGGUCAGUGACAGUUGGCUCCUCUUACAUUGUUUCAUAACUAAACUACUGCAUGCUGAAGGUAAAUACAGUGCACUUGUUGAUCUAUUUACCUUCUCUAUCCAGAUUAAAACUGUAAACAGUUUUCUCCAGCACGUUCUCCUCUUUGCUUGUUCUUGAACUGGAGGGUGGAUGAAGUCACCUCUCACACCCACCCACCCAGUCCAUAAUCAUCCUGCCAUCCUUUGCACAUAUAAACCCACCCCAGCCUCAUGCCUACAAAUACCCAAAGACACCGGGGACGGCAUCACAAACUGACUAAAGGACUGACAGAGCAAGUCCGAGCUGCUGCAGACAACUGCUGGAGAAGAAGAUGUUGCCUUACAAGUGUUUGCUGCCUGUUUUGGCUUUCUGCUUAAUUGAUGAGCUCUAUGCGUUCCUGCUUCCAGACCGUCUGCAGUCAGCCAGAAGGCUCAAUCGGGAUGUGUCCUCUCACCUGUCUGAAAUCUCUGAUCUGGGUGAGUUCAUGCCAGAUAACUGGGGGGACAUGACUCAGGACUGGGAGCCCAACCCGGCCAAAUCUGUCACUGACCUCUCCCCUCCUGUGGAGCACAUUCCAGUACUACCCAAACCCCAGCAGCAGCAGAAAAAAGAAAAGAGCAGGGCGAGGGUCACUGUCCCCCUGGACCGCAUUGGUAACUCCUAUCUGUCAAGCAGAUACAGAAAUGAUGAACCGGAGGAGCAGGAGGGACAUCUUGAUGACUGA